Artibeus jamaicensis (Jamaican fruit-eating bat) is the source of this 153-nucleotide small nucleolar RNA. RefSeq annotates it as small nucleolar RNA SNORA70. The transcript has a single exon. NCBI's taxonomy places the organism in Eukaryota, Metazoa, Chordata, Mammalia, Chiroptera, Phyllostomidae. The record is from RefSeq and is a predicted model, not a curated record.
UUGCAGAAAAUAGUAGGUGGGGUCCUUAAAAAUUUAAAAUACUCUUUUACCUAUGGGAACCUGGUGUGCAAUGACUGCAAAACACUAGCACCCUUGGUAGUAUAUAUGGUCUAUUGCUAGCAUGGUUUGCUUUAAGGUACAUUGGAUGUGGCC